CACAUAUUUUUUUUUUCUCAUGGGAGAAAUGCAGCGUGGGUAUUCUCUCCAUUUCACCAAGGAGCAAGCCAAGGCUCGGAGAGGUUGAAUAAGGUCACUGAGCUUGCAAAUGCCCAAGGCGAGAUUUCUGAGCCCAGGCCUCCUGCCUUCAAGUCGGGCAGACCCAGUCUUUCAGACCUGUUCCUCUCCUCCCUAAGACAUUUCUCUCCUAAACCUCUCUCUAAGAGGAAGACAGCGAAGUGUCCCCAAGCCUAUCCAAGCUCUUCUUCCACACCCACAGGAUCAUGGAAGCCAUGGAAACCUGAUUUGGCUUCAGCUCCUGGAGACAAAUCCUUGCCCAGCCAGAUGAACUGUCUUGUCUUCAUCUUCAGUUUCUUUCCAGUGUUUGGAGAGAAAACAUGCUUCAUCCCUACUACUCCACCCUUAGUCAACCCUGGACUCAGGAAGGGGUGAAGACUCAUCAACUGGGACUUCCCCUGGUUAGUGGCUAAAAAGCUCCCACCUCCUGAAACACAAGCACCCACCCCGCCUCCCGGCUUGUUAUUGCCUUGUUAUUCAGAGCUGCUGUCUGCUGAGGCAAAAUCCCCUUUGACUUGUAACCACUCCCUAAACUCCCUUCCCUGCAAAAUCUUUUCCUCACCUGCUCUUUCCAUUAUCCUGAACUCAAAGGGAUGUAACUCUCCCGGCUACCCACCACUUCUCAGUCAUCUUCAAAGGGUGCUGACUCUCCUCUCUCCUCUGUCCAGCUCCAUCUUCCCUCAUUAGAACCUAAGAUCCUUGUUUAAUAUUUCUAUCCCCAGCAUUUAGCACAGGGCCCAGAGCAUCAUAAAUACUUUACAAAUGCUCUCUAAUUUCAUUUUAAAAUAGAUUUUAGUAAUAUCUUUUUUCUUUAAAAAUGUUCAAAAUUAAAAUUUGUUUUGGUGAACAAAAAAAAACAUUUUCUCCUCCUCCCCCCACCUUUCCCACCUCAUUGAAAAUGAGAAAGAAAAGCAAAAGUCUUGUAACAUAUGCAUAGUCAAACAGAACAAAUUCCUACUUUGGCCACGUCCAAAAAAUAAAUGUCUCAUUCUGCAUCA
This 1076-nucleotide long non-coding RNA is filed under the name Phascolarctos cinereus (koala). Its description in RNAcentral is "lncRNA (ENSPCIG00000018470.2)". Lineage: Eukaryota; Metazoa; Chordata; Mammalia; Diprotodontia; Phascolarctidae. The record is from RNAcentral.